AUACGUAGGGGGCAAGCGUUGUCCGGAUUUAUCGGGCGUAAAGGGUGCGUAGGCGGCCUUUUAAGUCAGAUGUGAAAGGUCACGGCUCAACCGUGGUAAGCAUUUGAAACUGAAAGGCUUGAGUUAAGGAGAGGAAAGUGGAAUUCCUAGUGUAGCGGUGAAAUGCGUAGAUAUUAGGAGGAAUACCAGUGGCGAAGGCGACUUUCUGGACUUAUACUGACGCUGAGGCACGAAAGCGUGGGGAGCGAACAGGAUUAGAUACCCUGGUAGUCCACGCCGUAAACGAUGAGUGCUAGGUGUUGGGGGUCAAGCCUCGGUGCCGCAGCUAACGCAUUAAGCACUCCGCCUGGGGAGUACGUACGCAAGUAUGAA
Molecule: ribosomal RNA, 372 nt
Filed under: uncultured bacterium
Lineage: Bacteria
Description: bacterial SSU rRNA
Rfam family: Bacterial small subunit ribosomal RNA
Source: RNAcentral